This is a non-coding RNA of Caenorhabditis elegans, 137 nucleotides long. NCBI's taxonomy places the organism in Eukaryota, Metazoa, Nematoda, Chromadorea, Rhabditida, Rhabditidae. The record is from Ensembl.
CUCUUCAAAAAUAUACCGGUCCUUGUUCAAGGUGGCACUGGUCACCCGUAUGUGGCCGGAGGGGGGUGUUGCUGCUUACCCCCAAUAGUACACCACAUUCCGAGGCGAUAGAUCGUUGCAUCGUCGGAGACACGUCU